UAUGACUUAAUCCUAAACUAUCUUCUACUAUCCUCUACCCUCUUUCUUUUAUAUAUUAUUAUCUUUACAGGUAUCACAAAGGGACCAACAGGACCCAAGUGUGCGUCUUUGCAGCCUGAAUACCUAACCUAACCUAACCUAAGUUUUCAAUAUAUUGUGGUAGUGUACAACUCAAAAACAUGCCUCUAGGAAACACCAUUCAAUAUGGUAGUAUCAUUAUUUUUAUAUACCAGGCUGCAUGCCACUAUACCAUUAUGGUCUAACUCAAAAAUAUCGAUAUCUGUUUAAAUAUCGAUUACUAUGAUCAAAAUAAACCCAAAAUUUUGGACUUACAGUGUUAUUGUAAUGGGCAACAUAAGAGUGAAAGUUACGAAUAGUAAAAACUGAAAUCUAUUGUAUAGGAUGACGUUUUGUAAAGGCAUGUUUUGGAAUUGUAUACCGAUAUAAUAGCGGUUUUCACUCUUGGUGGUAAAGUACCCUUGUAUCCAUGUUAACUAUGGUAGGUAUAUUCUAAAUAAUACUAUUUACAUCAACGCAACAACAAAAUGCACUUAUUUUAAAUAUACAACGCUGUAUUAGAUUUACCAUGAAAAAAGGUCUAGUAUAUAAGCUUGAUAAAUAUAAAACUAAAACUAAAAAAACUAAACAGCUGAUCGUCUAUUCACCAAAAUAUUUUAGACUUGAUUUUUUGUUAUAAAUUGUUCGAUAAAUAUUAAAAAAUAAAAAUUAGUGCAAAUGUAAAAAUAAAAAGAAAACGUGAAAAACUAAACAAUAAAAGAUGGACUGAUGCCGAAAUAAAGCAAUUAUUAGAAUAUCUGCAAGAUCGACAAGAUUUUGAAAAGCCAAAUAUUUUACAGAAAGUUUUUGCAAGUAACAGAGUUAGAUGCAUCUUGGGACAUUGUCCGAUGGAAAGUCAAAAAUCUUAAAUCAAAUUAUAACAAAGCUGAGACUUGGAAAAAGUCGACCGGAGCAGGUUUGCUUGAAGCCGAUGAAGGCGUCUCAUCAAUAAAUUAAGGAAGAUGUGUCGAUUUUACGACGAAUUGCACAACAUUUUUGGAAAUAAAACACCCGAAUUCCCCUUUGAAAUAUAUGACAGUGCGAUUUCUAUUAAUAUUGGGCUUAAUAGCACUCCAGUCACUGAAAGCACAUUAGAUCACCAAAUAGACUUUUGUGGGUUUGCAAAUCUAGAAGAAUACUGCUCAAUCCCAGUCAUACAAUAUACAGGUUCUGUAGACAUAGAAGGUGAAUCCACCGAUAUGCAACCUUCAUCGUCAUGUUCACAGACUUCAGCUUUAAACGAACCAUCUUCAC
Lucilia cuprina (Australian sheep blowfly) is the source of this 1311-nucleotide long non-coding RNA. RefSeq lists it as uncharacterized. The transcript has 3 exons. NCBI's taxonomy places the organism in Eukaryota, Metazoa, Arthropoda, Insecta, Diptera, Calliphoridae. The record is from RefSeq and is a predicted model, not a curated record.